This 403-nucleotide ribosomal RNA is filed under the name uncultured Oscillibacter sp. RNAcentral's name for it is "bacterial SSU rRNA". It matches the Rfam family "Bacterial small subunit ribosomal RNA", at positions 356 to 774 of the family's 1533-position model. The record is from RNAcentral. Lineage: Bacteria; Bacillati; Bacillota; Clostridia; Eubacteriales; Oscillospiraceae.
GGGGAAUAUUGGGCAAUGGACGCAAGUCUGACCCAGCAACGCCGCGUGAAGGAAGAAGGCUUUCGGGUUGUAAACUUCUUUUAAGGGGGAAGAGUAGAAGACGGUACCCCUUGAAUAAGCCACGGCUAACUACGUGCCAGCAGCCGCGGUAAUACGUAGGUGGCGAGCGUUGUCCGGAUUUACUGGGCGUAAAGGGUGCGUAGGCGGAUAUUUAAGUCAGAUGUGAAAACCCCGGGCUUAACUUGGGGACUGCAUUUGAAACUGGAUAUCUAGAGUGCAGGAGAGGAAAGCGGAAUUCCUAGUGUAGCGGUGAAAUGCGUAGAGAUUAGGAAGAACACCAGUGGCGAAGGCGGCUUUCUGGACUGUAACUGACGCUGAGGCACGAAAGCGUGGGUAGCAAACA